CAUAAUAUGACAUUUUGAUAGCUACACUUCAAUUGUGUCCUAAGAGCAUUUGAAUCAGCUGUUGUACGCUAUGUGAGAAAUACAGAAGGAUUUUUAGGACAAUUGAGCAAGGGGUGAGUUGUGUAACACAUAGUCUGUUUUAGCUUCCAGUGUCCCUCACCUGUUUGUAAUGAUGGCUGCUUGCCAUUAAUAUCCGUCUGUAUGGUUCUGGAAGAGAGAUCAGACGGUUGGGCAGUGAAAGACAGACAUCAGACUUUCCACCUCAUGGAAGCCCCUCAUUCCCCCAUGACUGGGUGUUUCACAAUUUUAGCACAGUGGAUUUGUAAACAAACUGUCAUAUGGUUGACAGCCAUGCCACCCCUCACCAGCAAAUUCACGCAAUAUCACGAUGAAAGUGUCAUUAUCCUUCUUGAGAUAGCACAUGGUCACUGAAUAUAUUAGAACAUAUUUAUGUCAGUCAUGUCUGUUGCAUCAUCAUUUCACUCCCAUGAGUUCUAAAACAACAUGUUGAGACCAGUAUGUGCCCAUCGAAGGGUUUCUAGAAGGUUUCACCUUGCCACUGUUACUUUCACAAUCAUAGAUGCCAGAUUGCGGUUGUGCUCUCCUUUCUGCAAGAUGGGCUGGAGCGAAGGCUGUCUCCCUCUACUCUCAAAGUGUAUGUUGCCGCUAUUACCACACAUCACGAUGCAGUAGUCGGCAAGUCCGUUGGGAAGCACGACCUGAUCAUCAGGUUCCUUAGUGGGGCAAGGAGGCUGAACCCUCCACGCCCUCACCUGGUACCCUCUUGGGAUCUCCCCUUGGUCAUGACGGCCUUGAAUUUCAAAAGCUGGACCCGGACCCGUGUAGAUCCGAGAAAUGCCUACCCGGACCCGACCCGGACCCGUCUACUAUUUGAAACCUGGACCCGAACCCGCCGGGAAGACACAGACCCAACUGGACCCGAUUGUCACAUAUUCCACCUUAAAUUGCUAUUACAAGUCAAUAAACCUGUUGCGAAAAAUACAACUUUUUG
Long non-coding RNA from Cyprinus carpio carpio, 1012 nucleotides. Lineage: Eukaryota; Metazoa; Chordata; Actinopteri; Cypriniformes; Cyprinidae. The record is from Ensembl.